Homo sapiens (human) is the source of this 2279-nucleotide long non-coding RNA. RefSeq lists it as uncharacterized. The transcript has 3 exons. The record is from RefSeq and is a predicted model, not a curated record. Lineage: Eukaryota; Metazoa; Chordata; Mammalia; Primates; Hominidae.
GAGGAUUUGAGGCCUGCUGACAGCCUUGACUGAGAUUUCAGCCAACACCCAAUAUCAAUUUUGCUAACCGGCCUUAACUUUCUCUAGGAAUGAUCUUACAUCCAUGGAUGUGACUGUCUGAGCAAGUGGAAGAAGCCAUGGUAUAACACAGAUUAAAUUAUCUCAGUGAUGAUGGUAAUCAUUUCCAAAAGAAGGUAGUGGUCCUCUUCCCUGAACUGUAAGAACUGUGAUUUCAUGCACUCCAAGUUGAGAACCCCUGCAGGAUCCUGAGUUGACUAAAUCCUAAUCAGUACGGCAGUCAAAGAUUCCGUAGUGCCUGGCCAUUGUAUGGAAAGAUCAGUCUUCUCAAGGUUAUUAAAAUCUCCCAUAAUAUAUUCACUGUGUACUUACAUGAAUACAAUGAUGUCAACUAAAAUACAAUUUAUUUCAAAUUUUUAAUUUUGUGUUGUCUAUUAAGUAUGCUUACAUUUUUAUGUCAACAUGGUUUCACUUUUUAUGUUAGAAAAUGCUAAGCAAUAAAUGCUACAGCUGAAUGUUGAAAGGUAUUAGUGUUGCUUGAAGCUCACCAAAUAAACACCCAGAUACUCCACGGGUAUAGCCCAGUCCUGACCUUCAGUGGAUAGGAAACUAUUCAGUGAAAUGUAAUGCACAGUACUGGAUUAUGGUCAGUGGAAUUUUUCAAAAUAAAUUAUCCAUAUCUGUAUUACUUGAUUCGGCUUGACUCCUCUUUUAACUAAAGUAUGUUUUAACUGUUUUUUUUCUUUUUUCUUUUUUUUUUUUUUGAGACAGAGACUCCCUCUGUCGCACAGGCUGGAAUGGAGUGCAGUGGCACGAUCGCGGCUCACUGCAAGCUCCGCCUCCGGGGUUCACACCAUUCUCCUGCCUCAGCCUCCCAAGUAGCUGGGACUACAGGAGCCCGCCACUACACCCGGCUAAUUUUUUGUAUUUUUAGUGGAGACGGGGUUUCACCGGGUUAGCCAGGAUGGUCUCGAUCUCCCGACCUCGUCAUCUGCCCGCCUCAGCCUCCCAAAGUGCUGGGAUUACAGGCGUGAGCCACCACGCCCGGCCCAACUAUUUUUUAUUAAUUACUGGCAAACUCCUAUUUUCCAGCCACUUCUGUUAUUCUUAUAAAACACUUUUACACUAUUUACAAAUGUGCAUUAAUACAAAAUUAUUGGUUUAUGCGAUUUCUCAAAAAAAUUUCAUCAUGUACCUCAAAGCUUAAGGUAGUUGGAGGUUCAAGUUCCAAUUAGAACUUAGUGCAAAUCCCUUCUGCAGAUACAAGUAUAGUAAAAUAAUUAUUGCCUGGGAAUUUCAGAAACCUUUUAUAGCUCCUGCUAUUGUCUUCUUGCCAAAAUGAACUAUCUGCUCAUUUAUUCUAAAUUAGAAUUGUGCAGUUAACAAAGAUCAAGAAGAUUAAAAACAUGGUGUGAAGCCAGUUUAGCAUAACAUUUAGUAUUUCCUUUUGUAAGUACUGCUCUCCUGUGCUUAGUUAAGUAUUAUUUAAGAUACUAUUGGAUCUUUAUAGAAUGUUCCCAUGAUUAAAAUUUAAUUUUGACACUACAACAUGUACAAAGUUCUGUCAAGUAUUAUUAAUGAUUAAACAAUGAGGAAAUAUGUUAUUACAGUGUGUUCAAUCUUUAAUGUCCAUUAAAUCCACUUGGUAAGUGUAAGUGGAAAUGAUACUAACUACAAUUCUCAUUCUCUAGUCCUUUACACAUUAUAAAGAAAUGAGGAUCUUACAAUACCAAUCAAUAAGUGAUGAAAAGAAACUGUGCGUGGUGGCUGAAAUUUGAAUGGGCCUUUCACAGAAAUCUUAUUAUUCUCCUACUAGGGACAGUGCAGAACAGACAUUCCACUUCCCGCUUUGUAAGCAAAUGCCUAGGCGUGUAGCACUGUGAUUAUAUUUCUAUCUUCGGCCUUAGAUCAUCUUCAGCAUCAGAGAGUUCUGAAAAUCCCAUUAAGAAGUCAUUUCAAGGAAACAUAAAUGUUCUUUGAAAUAAUCUUCAAUGCUUUUCUAAUUUUUUAUAUUAAUGUCUCCUGCAACCCUCUUCCCAGAAUGGGUAAUAAAUCCUCUUAUAUUUAUGCACAGAGAGAUAUGUAUAUACAGUUUAUUUACUUCCUGUUUUAAUUGCUGUCCUAACUAAAUACAACACAUGUAAUGCAAAUGUUUGCCAAACUUUGUAUGGGUUGUACUUAACAUGUAUAACACUGGCAUUUUAGCUGAACUGAUCGUGACAAAGCAUUCCUGAAUAAAAAUUACUUUUUUAGAAAGGAAA